ACAGCAGGGCUGCAGGAAGGCAGCUGUCCUGCCUGCUCCCCACACAGAAGGGUCUUAAUUUUCAGUGGACUCACGAGAGGAGCUGCAAACUUGACAGGAAGCUCGGCACAGCAACUGCCCCGAUGCUGCUGCUGUAGGCACAGCUGUGCGGGCCAGGGCAGAAAGCCAGCCUCCGGCCUGUUCUCUGACCUCCAUCCCCCCAACAGCGCCCAUCAUCGAGGGCUCCGAGUCACGCCCGGGCGGGGAGUGGGGGUGGCCGGGAGCCCGACCUUGCGUUUUUCUGUACCCCAAGUUUACGAAACGAGUUUGCCAUGCAGCAGCAGCAGGACAAUAAGAGCGCAGAGCUGCCCGUCUGGGUUGUCGCUGUGGCGAGGCGGAGGGGACACGGCUCCCCGAAGCCGCCGGCCUGCGUUUGGUCAGCAGGCGGCAGCAUUGCCCGUCAGGUGGAGGCUGGCUCCCACUGCUGGGCUGCAGAGCUCUGGUCACCCCCACCUUCCCGCCACCCCCCUGGAAGUUUCCCCGGUAGAAGGCUUGACAAAGAAGAAUCUCAUUUCCCAGAAAAGAUGACACAGAAUUUUGAAGACCGAUGAAGCUGGUCCUAGCAGCGUUUUUGGAGCAAGAUGAAGCUAUCGUCAUGAAAUCUGAAGGAAUUCUAUGAAACUGAAAAUGCCAAGUGCCCCGAGAAAGCAGCAAGGUUGGCUGCGUCCCCUAAGUUUCCCUGUGGAGAACAGACAUCGGGUAACGGCAGCAGAAAGUACACGCGCAGACAGCACGCCACACCUGAGCUGACGCGCCAGAUUCCAUAACACGCCAUGGUUCGCGGCAGGCUGCGGGUAGGAGGGCCUCAGCGUCCUCAGCCUCUGAGAACAAAGCGUGGGCUUGAAGGGCACGGGCACAGAUGUGCAGUGGAAGGGUGGACGGUGGCCACGCCCAGUGGUACGUCAGCCAUGCUGCAUCAGCUGAUGAGUCCUGGCCUAUUGGCUUGGUGACACAAGGGUCAUUUUUGGAUAGAUGAUUAAAAAAGAAAAAGAGAAAGGGCAAGUUUCCAAAAUGCAGGGCCUCGCCGGAAGCGGGUCACCUGUCCUGGCACCACUGACCUGGACAUCUCCCUGGGCCGCUCUGUGGAAGCCACAGCGGGAAUCCGCCACUGCAGUGACCACAGCCAGCAAGCAGAGACCAGGGAGAACGACCCAGUGAAGGAAAGUGGCGAGCGAAGAACACACAAAGUCCUGGAGAGGACGCGGCAGCCGAGCGGCCAGCGGGUGGAAAUGCGCCACGGGAAAUGAAGGAGGGGGCUCGAAAGUGAGAACUCGGAAAAGGCAGUUCCUAAGGGGCCUCAGGGUGACGAAGGUGAUCUUUGAUUUGCAGCUUGGCGAACAGCUUUCCUGGACUAACUUUCAGUUUCGAGAAGGGCCUUCAUCGGCGUCGCCUGCACCGAGUGUCCACUGAAGGGGCGUCGAUGGAGCUGAGCUCUCACCCUGCCUUUGCAGCACAGAGGGGCGGCUCAUCCUCUCAUCCUGGCUGGGCAGUGAGGGAUGCAAACACCCAGCAACGGGGGAUGAUUACCGAUUCCUAACGCAUUCGGGAACGACCGAGGAUUAGACUGCUCAGCUCCGAGAGUUGACAGUCAGCAGACAUUUCAAAUAAGACACCAGGCUGAGUAGUGCUCUGCAGGUCCUUUCCUUAAGUGCCUAAAAUACCUUUGGUCAAAAACAGACUAAUCAAAACAGCAAAACGAAAUCCCCGAAACACGGAUUAACCACCACCACUUUUCAGCAUGGUGCGCUGCAUGUAUGCGGCGAGUCCAGUGCCUUGUGGUUCCAUUUUGCCCAUCUGACUUUAUCAUUAUUAUUAUUAUUAUUAUUUAAUCUUACUGGAUCAUUGGGACAGUUGUACACAUUUUUGCAUGGAAAUACA
Long non-coding RNA from Tupaia belangeri chinensis (Chinese tree shrew), 1917 nucleotides. RefSeq lists it as uncharacterized. The record is from RefSeq and is a predicted model, not a curated record. The transcript is spliced from 3 exons. NCBI's taxonomy places the organism in Eukaryota, Metazoa, Chordata, Mammalia, Scandentia, Tupaiidae.